Molecule: long non-coding RNA, 1394 nt
Organism: Canis lupus familiaris (dog)
Lineage: Eukaryota; Metazoa; Chordata; Mammalia; Carnivora; Canidae
Exons: 3
Source: RefSeq, a predicted model, not a curated record
AGAAAAGGAGCGGGGAACGGAGAGGCUGUUCCGGGAGGGUUUGUAAAGAGGCACGGGAGCGCUGGCACACAUGCCCCCUUCCCACUGGGGACACAAGCCGUCAGUGGCUUCCGCAGAAACCACCCCACAGACUUGCAGCCUUUGGGAAUUGCAAGAUGAACUGUCGCGGGGGAGGUCCCCCUUUCCAGCCUCUCUGUCACCAGAGAGCUACCCCCUCAUUGUGACAGAUGAAGAAAUUAAGACUCAGGUUUGAGUGGCUUGCUCCCAGUCACCUCAGGCCUCCACACUCCCCGUCAAUCUUUUCCUGUGUCAUCCACGUGUCCCUCCAAGUGAGGAGCACAGGGAGGGAAGAGAGUGGCAUCUUUCUGAGGUGGCUGUGGAAGCUGAGGCUCCUCUCCUAACUCCUCAGCACCAGGGCAGCCCUCCUCAGAGGUGGGAGAACUCUAUACCCUGGCAGACCUGGACAAGGGUGUGGGAGGGGAUGGUGGAAGAAGCAGGAGGCGGGGCAGAGGAAGCAGGAAAGGAACAGCUUGGGUGGCUCCCCAACCCAUUCAGCAGCUUGAGGCAGUUGGGAAGGAAUCCAGUAUCUGCGUGUGGACGAUGCCUGAGGCUCCGAGGGACACAUGGGCUCCCCUUGUCAUAUGGAGUAUGUGCAGGAGGCUGUGACCCGAGAACCCCUGAGAUGGCUUAUGAGAUGACAGGGGGCCAGGAACAGAAAAGGAACCCAAGGAAAGCAGGCUGAAGGGAGAUUUCAGUCCCGACUUCCGUCUGAAGAGCUGCCCAAUGAGAACCUACCUAGGAGGACAGGCAAGCAGGCCAGUCCGUUCUCAGGUGGCAGGCUCCCAGCCUCCUGCAAGAAUAACAGGAAGAGCUGAAGCUCACUAAUUUGGAAUUUGCAAUAAUAUUGACGCCACAACCUUGAUCCCAAUGAGUACAAGUUAAAAAUAACUUCUUUCUCUCUCUUUAGGGUCUUAUUCACAAGGGGGAGGUAUAAUAAGAAUACAUGUUACAUUUAGAUAGCACUUUAGACCUCCUCAAUUCUUUUGUGGGAAUUAACUAAUUUGAUAUUGAUACUAUCCCUGAGAGUUAGGAAGGAGAGACUGUCCUUUGGUCAUUUACUUUUUGUCUGCCAUCAAAACAAUGGAGGGGGUUCUGGUUCCUAUAGGAGAAGACAUUAUGAUUAGGCCAGUGCAAAGAAUUGUGGAUGCCUGACCCAAUAAAGGAAAUGCAGUCUGCUUGGGAGGACAUUCACUAUCUCCACCUCUCUUCCAGGGAAGGAGAAAUCACCAGCUAUCACAGUUGGAGGAAAAAAAAAAAAAACACCUUAGAAAAUAUGCCCCAAAUGGAAUACAAUUUGAGAGUCUAUAAAUAAACUCUUAUAUUUAUUCAAUUGA